RNAcentral lists this ribosomal RNA (465 nucleotides) under uncultured bacterium. RNAcentral's name for it is "bacterial SSU rRNA". It matches the Rfam family "Bacterial small subunit ribosomal RNA", at positions 330 to 792 of the family's 1533-position model. The record is from RNAcentral.
UCCAGACUCCUACGGGAGGCAGCAGUGAGGAAUAUUGGUCAAUGGGCGAGAGCCUGAACCAGCCAAGUCGCGUGAGGGACGACGGCCCUACGGGUUGUAAACCUCUUUUGCCGGGGGACAAACGGCGGCACGCGUGCCGUCCUGAGGGUACCCGGAGAAAAAGCAUCGGCUAACUCCGUGCCAGCAGCCGCGGUAAUACGGAGGAUGCGAGCGUUAUCCGGAUUUAUUGGGUUUAAAGGGUGCGUAGGCGGGAGGGCAAGUCCGGGGGGAAAAUCCGGGGGCUAACCCUGGGUCCGCCGUUGAAACUGGCGUUCUUGAGUGGGCGAGAAGUACGCGGAAUGCGUGGUGUAGCGGUGAAAUGCAUAGAUAUCACGCAGAACCCCGAUUGCGAAGGCAGCGUACCGGCGCCCAACUGACGCUGAAGCACGAAAGCGUGGGUAUCGAACAGGAUUAGAUACCCCAGUA